AUGCAGUCAGCUCUCUGCAUCUGUGGGUUCAACCAACCUCGGACUGAAAAUAUUCAGUAUUUGGGAAAAAAGUGUCAUCCCAUACUGAACAUAAAUGAUAUUUUGAUCUUGGGGUUGAGGGUCAUAAUUUCCUCUUUAAAAUGGACAUUAAAAUUCAGCACGCAUUUGGAGUACAAGGAAGGGUGAUGAUCACAGUGUAGGCUAAGUCCAACAUUGUGGCAUCUUGACUGUGGUG
Molecule: long non-coding RNA, 235 nt
Filed under: Piliocolobus tephrosceles (Ugandan red Colobus)
Lineage: Eukaryota; Metazoa; Chordata; Mammalia; Primates; Cercopithecidae
Description: lncRNA (ENSPTEG00000023797.1)
Source: RNAcentral